This 254-nucleotide ribosomal RNA is filed under the name uncultured bacterium. Its description in RNAcentral is "partial 16S ribosomal RNA". It matches the Rfam family "Bacterial small subunit ribosomal RNA", at positions 524 to 776 of the family's 1533-position model. The record is from RNAcentral.
CACGUAGGCACCAAGCGUUGUCCGGAUUUAUUGGGCGUAAAGAGCUCGUAGGCGGUUCGGUAAGUCGGGUGUGAAAACUUUGGGCUUAACCCAAAGCGUGCAUCCGAUACUGCUGUGACUUGAGUUCGGUAGGGGAGUGGGGAAUUCCUAGUGUAGCGGUGAAAUGCGCAGAUAUUAGGAGGAACACCGGUGGCGAAGGCGCCACUCUGGGCCGAAACUGACGCUGAGGAGCGAAAGCGUGGGGAGCGAACAGG